Molecule: long non-coding RNA, 679 nt
Organism: Trichosurus vulpecula (common brushtail)
Lineage: Eukaryota; Metazoa; Chordata; Mammalia; Diprotodontia; Phalangeridae
Exons: 2
Source: RefSeq, a predicted model, not a curated record
GAUGACACAGUAGGUCAGAAAACUUUCAGCUCUCCAAAUUUUCUACACAGAAAAAGACAGAAAAUUGCCUCAGAGGGAAUGAGUUGCAGCUGAAAUAAAAAAAAGUCAGGAUAGAGCAGUUGUUCUCCUAAGACAACCUAAGAAGACCCCAGGAAAAAUCCGACUUCCAGGGGCAGAGGUUCAACCUGAUUGAAGUGCAAACACCUCCAGUCCAACUCUGGCAAUCAACAAACAAUGAGCUCUGGGUCAGUUGGGCUUAGAAGGCCCCAGCCUUAGAAACUUUCAUCUCAUCAACAGUGCGAGGGUCUGAUGACUGAGUAGAAGAUUGAAGAACCUUCCACUGUCAAGGGAUGCCAAACACAGCUACGCUGAUGUGUCCAGGACUGGGCUGCUGCAGCAAGGGAGAAGGAGCUUGCAUAUGCCUGGAGAUUUGAUCAUCCCAUGUUCACAUGAGAGCAGUACUGAUUGAUAGGAACUUGCUAGAAUGCCACCUUGGGGAGAAGACACAUCACCUCUGACUAGACAAACAGGGAACUUUGUCCUGUGUACCAGCGUUAGACACGUUUACUGGAAACUUUAAGAAUCAGAUUGGUUGUUUGCUCCUAUAGGGGUUGGUUUUCGUAUUGUCAAAUAGAUAAUUGUACAUUGUCAAUUAAUGAAGAAAGAUUGCAAACAGUGA